GAGACAAUUAUAGAUCCUGGAAGACAAUUCUGAUUGGUCAAUAAAAAUCGAUUUCAAUGCUAUUUUGUUUUUGUUUUUUAGGAGUUUAGCCAAUUUAUCAUGAAAGGUAAAAGGGGAUAAAGGAACCGUGUGUUGAUUGUCCUGUAAAUAUAAGUUGUCUUCCUCCAUAUGUAAAAAGGGAAUAAAUAAAUCAAUUAAAUUUCGGGAUGCUUCAUGAAGUGCUUCUUUCGGAGUUAAACUUCNUAGCUAAUUUAUCAUGAAAGGUAAAAGGGGAUAAAGGAACCGUGUGUUGAUUGUCCUGUAAAUAUAAGUUGUCUUCCUCCAUAUGUAAAAAGGGAAUAAAUAAAUCAAUUAAAUUUCGGGAUGCUUCAUGAAGUGCUUCUUUCGGAGUUAAACUUCCGUUUG
RNAcentral lists this long non-coding RNA (405 nucleotides) under Solanum pimpinellifolium. RNAcentral's name for it is "long non-coding RNA (SPIM_LNC000097)". The record is from RNAcentral. Lineage: Eukaryota; Viridiplantae; Streptophyta; Magnoliopsida; Solanales; Solanaceae.